CCUACGGGAGGCAGCAGUGAGGAAUAUUGGUCAAUGGCCGGAAGGCUGAACCAGCCAUGCCGCGUGAAGGUCAGUGCCCUAUGGGCGUUAAACUUCUUUUGUGCGGGAGCAAUAAUGGUCACGUGUGGCCAGACGAGAGUACCGUACGAAUAAGCAUUGGCUAACUCCGUGCCAGCAGCCGCGGUAAUACGGGGGAUGCAAGCGUUAUCCGGAGUUAUUGGGGUUAAAGGGUGCGUAGGCUGUGAGGUAAGUCAGCGGUGAAAUGCCCCCGCUCAACGGGGUGAAGUGCCAUUGAUACUGCCUUGCUGGAAUGCGGAUGCCGUGGGAGGAAUGUGUGGUGUAGCGGUGAAAUGCAUAGAUAUCACACAGAACACCGAUUGCGAAGGCAUCUCACGAAUCCGCGAUUGACGCUGAUGCACGAAAGCGUGGGUAUCAAACAGGAUUAGAUACCCCGGUAGUC
This 460-nucleotide ribosomal RNA is filed under the name uncultured bacterium. RNAcentral's name for it is "partial 16S ribosomal RNA". It matches the Rfam family "Bacterial small subunit ribosomal RNA", at positions 338 to 795 of the family's 1533-position model. The record is from RNAcentral.